Molecule: non-coding RNA, 65 nt
Organism: Dipodomys ordii (Ord's kangaroo rat)
Lineage: Eukaryota; Metazoa; Chordata; Mammalia; Rodentia; Heteromyidae
Source: Rfam
GGUGGCUCAGUGGUACAGUGCUUGCCUUGCAUGCAUGAGACCCUGGGUUCAAUUCCUCAGCACCA